This 498-nucleotide ribosomal RNA is filed under the name Escherichia sp. Its description in RNAcentral is "bacterial SSU rRNA". It matches the Rfam family "Bacterial small subunit ribosomal RNA", at positions 556 to 1054 of the family's 1533-position model. The record is from RNAcentral. Lineage: Bacteria; Pseudomonadati; Pseudomonadota; Gammaproteobacteria; Enterobacterales; Enterobacteriaceae.
GGGCGUAAGCGCACGCAGGCGGUUUGUUAAGUCAGAUGUGAAAUCCCCGGGCUCAACCUGGGAACUGCAUCUGAUACUGGCAAGCUUGAGUCUCGUAGAGGGGGGUAGAAUUCCAGGUGUAGCGGUGAAAUGCGUAGAGAUCUGGAGGAAUACCGGUGGCGAAGGCGGCCCCCUGGACGAAGACUGACGCUCAGGUGCGAAAGCGUGGGGAGCAAACAGGAUUAGAUACCCUGGUAGUCCACGCCGUAAACGAUGUCGACUUGGAGGUUGUGCCCUUGAGGCGUGGCUUCCGGAGCUAACGCGUUAAGUCGACCGCCUGGGGAGUACGGCCGCAAGGUUAAAACUCAAAUGAAUUGACGGGGGCCCGCACAAGCGGUGGAGCAUGUGGUUUAAUUCGAUGCAACGCGAAGAACCUUACCUGGUCUUGACAUCCACGGAAGUUUUCAGAGAUGAGAAUGUGCCUUCGGGAACCGUGAGACAGGUGCUGCAUGGCUGUCG